UGGGCCAGGAAGAUACCCUGGAGGAGAUCAUGGCAACCCACUCCAGUAUUCUUGCCUGGAGAAUCCCCAUGGACAGAGGAGCCUGGAAGGCUAUAGUCCAUAGGGUCAUAGAGAGUUGGACAUGACCAAAGUGACUUAGCACGCAUGCAGGUCCAGUUCAGAGAUGGAGGCAGGAGGAGGAACUCAAUUACUAUUUGUUUUCUCUACAUCAAGCGAGAUGGCAUUUGAUGAUAAGUGUGAAAUACACUGAGCCUUCGAAAUGCCAGUGCAUGUGGAGUUCUGUCUCUGCAGCUCUUAACUGUGCCUCUAGACAUCUUUCCUGACUGUUGUUCACCUGGAAGGUGUCCUUGCCAAAUGGGACUACAUUUGCUUUCUACACCUUCUUCCUCUGCCAAACAAGGACGCAGCUGCAAUCAAUAACAGACUGCUUCCAACUUCUGAUGCGAUGCAGGCUUCCAGAUGACAAGGGGCUUCAAAACCAAGCACCAUGAAGAAUAUUUAGAGCCCUUUAGUGGAGGAGAAAGCCUGUGUGCUGCUCAACAAUCAGAGACCUCCUAUCUCUUCCAACUCUUUCUCUGGCUGCAUUCCAGGAUCAUGGCUACACCUGGAGCCAAGGGCAGCUGGGAGAAGCGGCAGAGAACCGCAAACAGGAGCCUAUGCCAUCAGUGGGAUGCUUAGAAAAAUCACCUUGACUGCUGCUUCAGAGGAUCCUAUCCCUUUUGGGAUCUUCCCAACCCAGGGAUCGAACCUGCAUCUCCUGCUUAGCAGGCAGAUACUUUACCACUGAGCCACCUGGCUCUGACAAUUUAAAGCUAAUUCAAGUUUUCCUGGUGAAGCGAUCAUGUUGUUUGUGCAGCAGUCUUGAGAUCCCAGAGAAGACCAUCAGAUAAAUCCAUAUUAACGGACAUUCUGAAAAAUAUCUGCUCACAACUCCUCAAAAACUGUCAAGGUCAUCAAAAACAAGGGAAGUCUGAGAAACUGUCAUAGUCUAGAAGAGCCUUAGGAGACGUGAUAACUAAAUGAAAUGUGGUAUUUGGGGUGGGAUGCUGAGACAGAAAAAAGAUAUUAGGCAAACACUCAAGAAAUAAAAAUAAGUUAUGAAAAAUC
Molecule: long non-coding RNA, 1107 nt
Organism: Bos taurus (domestic cattle)
Lineage: Eukaryota; Metazoa; Chordata; Mammalia; Artiodactyla; Bovidae
Source: Ensembl